CAAACAGCGAGGAAGAGACCAAGUAGGCAGGUGCAUAAGCCUCCAGAGAGCGUUUGGCUGGUGAAAAAACGCAGGCGGGCAGGCUGCUGAAUACAGCUCGGAGCUGCGCGGCCCAAAAGCCGUGCCGGGGACGCCCGUUACAGCGUCUGGGUAUGUUGGUACCCGCUGAGGCUGUUUUCGUGAGAAAAUGGCAAAUAGAGGUGGUAACGCGGUUUUUCGCCCUCUGU
This 227-nucleotide non-coding RNA is filed under the name [Clostridium] methylpentosum. RNAcentral describes it as "Clostridium methylpentosum T-box sequence". It matches the Rfam family "T-box leader". From Rfam's summary of the family: Uncharged tRNA acts as the effector for transcription antitermination of genes in the T-box leader family. T-boxes are found upstream of many aminoacyl-tRNA synthetase genes and some amino acid biosynthetic genes usually in Gram-positive bacteria. The record is from RNAcentral. Lineage: Bacteria; Bacillati; Bacillota; Clostridia; Eubacteriales; Oscillospiraceae.